Molecule: ribosomal RNA, 305 nt
Filed under: uncultured bacterium
Lineage: Bacteria
Description: bacterial SSU rRNA
Rfam family: Bacterial small subunit ribosomal RNA
Source: RNAcentral
CCUACGGGGCGCAGCAGUGGGGAAUAUUGCACAAUGGGGGGAACCCUGAUGCAGCGACGCCGCGUGAAGGAUGAAGUAUUUCGGUACGUAAACUUCUAUCAGCAGGGAAGAAAAUGACGGUACCUGACUAAGAAGCCCCGGCUAACUACGUGCCAGCAGCCGCGGUAAUACGUAGGGGGCAAGCGUUAUCCGGAUUUACUGGGUGUAAAGGGAGCGUAGACGGUGAUGUAAGUCUGGAGUGAAAGGAGGGGGCCCAACCCCCGGACUGCUCUGGAAACUAUGUGACUGGAGUGCAGGAGAGGGGG